GCUGUAUAAUUAAUAGAAUAAAGCCACAGAAUGUACAACAUUUCAUAUCAUUUGCAAUAUUUAGAAUUGUGGAUUAUCUACAUACUUUUUUUUUUUCUUUCUUUUUCUUUCUUUUUUUUUUUUUUUUUUCCAGGAUGAAAAUAUGCAUCUAUUUUUCCAGCAAGGAAUAGAAGUUUCAGGAGGUUGCCACUUUGAAGAUAUUCUCAUUUUAAUCAUUAGAUCAUUUGCUUUGUUCGUUAUUAUUCAGGUGACGCCAAGGAAUUGCAUAAAUAAGGAAUACUGCCAUGUACAUCAUGGUCACCUCAGUGGAAGAAGCUGUAAGGAGUGACACCUGGAUUGCCAGCCCUUCCUACUGUUCCCUCAGGCCAUGCAUGCUGGCCUCUAGCCAACAGCUGCCUCUCAGUAUCACAUUGCCUGCACAUCUGCCUCUCUCCAUAAAUGUCACCUGGGCCACUUCCAUAAACUCUCCACUGAUCUGUCUGAUCAAGAGCUGUCUCUGGAACAAAGAAUAUUCAGGGAAAAUGGGGUUGGGGUGCCUCUCUGAUUUCUGUGUGUGCAUUUUGGUGUGACUCUGAGAAGUCACACCUACUCCUCAGUACCAGCACAGCAUCUUGAGGCAAGGCACAUAAUCAGCAAUGCACAUUUUGUUUCCAAAGCUUUGAUUACAGACAUAACCCAAUAUCUUCUUUCUAUAUGGUUUGUUUGUUCUGGGACAGAGUUAAUUUUUCUGUCAUAAUGUCCAGUAUGAUGUUAUACUUUGGCUUUAGGAGAAAAAUAGUGUUGAUAACAUAGUGACAUUUAAGUUGUUGCUGAUCAGUGCUGUACAGAACCAAGGACAUUUUAGUUUCUCAUACUGUCUUGAUGGAGGGGACACAAGGAAUUGAGAGGGGACAGCUGUUCUAAACUGGCCAAAGGGAUACUCCAUACCAGAUGACAUCAUUUGAAAACAUAAGACUGAGGGGAGCUGGCUGGGGAAGCAGCCUCUGUUUGAGGUCUGGAUGAGCAUCAGCUGGCAGGUGAUAAGCAAUUGCUUUGUGCAUCACUUGUUUUCUGUAUAUAAGUGAAUAUAUACAUACAUACAUAUACAUAGCCUGAGAGAAGAGAAAGCCAAGAGAAACUCUUGCUCAGAAGACAUCCACACAGAUGCCCCCUCUUAGCCCAGGUACGAAAUUCUUCCCAGCUUGCCUGUUGAGUUACUUGAAUCUACGCAAGUUUUCUUCCAGAACAUGAUGGAAGUCAGUAACUGACACAGCUAGGAAAUGAAAAAAAUAUGUUUAUGGUCAUCAGGGUUCCAUCUUCCCUGGUCACACAGGGCAAGAGACUGUGAUAGUCUGUGUUGACGUGUGGAUAAAUUUGAACAAUUUACCUAUUAAAUGUCUCAUGUAACAUAAACUGAUAUUUUUACAAGGUACCACUUAAUGAAAGUUUUGGUAACAAUUUUUCCAGAAAAAAAAAAAUAAAUUAUUUAGUGUAGUUUGCUUCUUUUUAAAA
This 1491-nucleotide long non-coding RNA is filed under the name Coturnix japonica (Japanese quail). Its description in RNAcentral is "lncRNA (ENSCJPG00005019459.1)". The record is from RNAcentral. Lineage: Eukaryota; Metazoa; Chordata; Aves; Galliformes; Phasianidae.